UACGGAGGGUGCGAGCGUUGUUCGGAAUUACUGGGCGUAAAGCGCGUGUAGGCGGUCGUGUAAGUCAGAUGUGAAAGCCUUCCGCUUAACGGAAGAAGUGCAUUUGAGACUGCUCGGCUGGAGUUCGGGAGAGGAGAGUGGAAUUCCCGGUGUAGAGGUGAAAUUCGUAGAUAUCGGGAGGAACACCGGUGGCGAAGGCGGCUCUCUGGCCCGAUACUGACGCUGAGACGCGAAAGUGUGGGGAGCAAACAGG
RNAcentral lists this ribosomal RNA (253 nucleotides) under uncultured bacterium. RNAcentral's name for it is "partial 16S ribosomal RNA". It matches the Rfam family "Bacterial small subunit ribosomal RNA", at positions 524 to 776 of the family's 1533-position model. The record is from RNAcentral.